Molecule: long non-coding RNA, 498 nt
Organism: Limulus polyphemus (Atlantic horseshoe crab)
Lineage: Eukaryota; Metazoa; Arthropoda; Merostomata; Xiphosura; Limulidae
Exons: 3
Source: RefSeq, a predicted model, not a curated record
UGUAUAUUUUUUUCUAGUUGAGUUUAGCAGCAUUCAUGGCUUCUUCACCUUUAAGAUUUAUUGAUUGUGUUAUGAAACAAAUUAUCAGACAAAACUUCAUAACCAACUUAAAAUUAAAGCUCCGAGCUUUAUCAACUCUCAUCAGUUCCGGUGUUCGCUUUUGAAGCAAAAUGACCUUGGUCAGUAAAAAUCUCGACCUUCAGGAAUUGAAUGCUGACAGGAUGUGGCCUACAAGUUCUGGGAGAAAGCUUUUUCUCACUCACUGUCCCGCUGUGACUUGAUUUCUUUAUGCGCCCAGUGGCUCAGGGUUAAGUGUGAAACCGGAUGUCUCUGGAUCUAUAUCCUUUUCAGGAUCUGGAAGAAUUAUGUUCAUUCUAAGACCUCUUUCUCCCUCCCUUGCUGACGUUAUUACCCCUCGUAGAGCUGUUUCUACACUAUCUAACUUUACUGUUAAAUGCUAGACGUUACAGAUGAGGGUUGUAUAUUUCUUGAUAGUCU